Etheostoma spectabile (orangethroat darter) is the source of this 127-nucleotide long non-coding RNA. RefSeq lists it as uncharacterized. The transcript has 4 exons. Lineage: Eukaryota; Metazoa; Chordata; Actinopteri; Perciformes; Percidae. The record is from RefSeq and is a predicted model, not a curated record.
CUACUGACGCUGUUUUCAACCCUCAGCUCCGGCUGCACAGAGCAGAUGUGGAGCAGCUGUCUGUGGUUAAAGAAGAGGUUCCCCCUGAGCAGCAGGAGUGUAGCUCCAACGUUGACCAGCACAAGCC